AAAUAGUCCUGAUAGCAAUGGAAAUCCUUUGUAAGUUUUGUUUUUUUAAAACUUACAAAGAUUGAAAUGAAUAGCAGGGAAUAAC
This 85-nucleotide small RNA is filed under the name Flavobacterium sp. 123. RNAcentral describes it as "Flavo-1 RNA". It matches the Rfam family "Flavo-1 RNA". Lineage: Bacteria; Pseudomonadati; Bacteroidota; Flavobacteriia; Flavobacteriales; Flavobacteriaceae. The record is from Rfam by way of RNAcentral.